Neomonachus schauinslandi (Hawaiian monk seal) is the source of this 183-nucleotide long non-coding RNA. RefSeq lists it as uncharacterized. NCBI's taxonomy places the organism in Eukaryota, Metazoa, Chordata, Mammalia, Carnivora, Phocidae. The record is from RefSeq and is a predicted model, not a curated record. The transcript has 3 exons.
UCGCUUGUGAGCCGGGCUGGGUUCCCCUUCAAACAUUGGCGAGAGUAGGCUGAGCGUUUCUGAACCUUUGCAGAAGUUAGACUCGACGAUUCUCCGAAAAGAUAUCCUUACGUGAAGCCUACCGUUGAAGUGAAAGAUUCUGUUCCUAAUAAAACAGUAGAAGUCAAGGACAAACAAACAUCC